RNAcentral lists this ribosomal RNA (369 nucleotides) under uncultured Methanomicrobiales archaeon. Its description in RNAcentral is "bacterial SSU rRNA". It matches the Rfam family "Archaeal small subunit ribosomal RNA", at positions 971 to 1338 of the family's 1478-position model. Lineage: Archaea; Methanobacteriati; Methanobacteriota; Methanomicrobia; Methanomicrobiales. The record is from RNAcentral.
CUUGACUAGCUGAGAGGAGGUGCAUGGCCGUCGUCAGUUCGUACUGUGAAGCAUCCUGUUAAGUCAGGCAACGAGCGAGACCCACGCCAACAGUUGCCAGCUCGUCCUCCGGGGAUGGUGGGGACACUGUUGGGACCGCCUCUGCUAAAGAGGAGGAAGGAAUGGGCAACGGUAGGUCAGCAUGCCCCGAAUUAUCUGGGCUACACGCGGGCUACAAUGGGUGGGACAAUGGGUAUCGACACCGAAAGGUGAAGGCAAUCUCCUAAACCCAUCCGUAGUUCGGAUUGUGGGCUGCAACUCGCCCACAUGAAGCUGGAAUCUGUAGUAAUCGUGUCUCAAAAUGGCACGGUGAAUAUGUCCCUGCUCCUU